GCCCCCGUAGCUCAGGCGGAUAGAGCAAUGGAUUCCUAAUCCAUGUGCCGCGUGUUCGAGUCACGCCGGGGGCACCA
Molecule: transfer RNA, 77 nt
Filed under: Deltaproteobacteria bacterium
Lineage: Bacteria; Pseudomonadati; Myxococcota; Myxococcia
Description: tRNA-Arg
Rfam family: tRNA
About the family: Transfer RNA (tRNA) molecules are approximately 80 nucleotides in length. Their secondary structure includes four short double-helical elements and three loops (D, anti-codon, and T loops). Further hydrogen bonds mediate the characteristic L-shaped molecular structure. tRNAs have two regions of fundamental functional importance: the anti-codon, which is responsible for specific mRNA codon recognition, and the 3' end, to which the tRNAs corresponding amino acid is attached (by aminoacyl-tRNA synthetases). tRNAs cope with the degeneracy of the genetic code in two manners: having more than one tRNA (with a specific anti-codon) for a particular amino acid; and 'wobble' base-pairing, i.e. permitting non-standard base-pairing at the 3rd anti-codon position.
Source: RNAcentral